This 253-nucleotide ribosomal RNA is filed under the name uncultured bacterium. Its description in RNAcentral is "partial 16S ribosomal RNA". It matches the Rfam family "Bacterial small subunit ribosomal RNA", at positions 524 to 776 of the family's 1533-position model. The record is from RNAcentral.
GACAGAGGGUGCAAACGUUGUUCGGAAUUACUGGGCGUAAAGGGCGCGUAGGCGGGAUGGCAAGUCGGUCGUGAAAUCCCUCGGCUCAACUGAGGAGCGUCGAUCGAAACUGCCGUUCUUGAGGGUUGCAGAGGAGACUGGAAUUCCCGGUGUAGCGGUGAAAUGCGUAGAUAUCUGGAGGAAUACCGGUGGCGAAGGCGGCAUCCUGGACCGGCAUUGACGCUGAGGAGCGAAAGCUAGGGGAGCAAACGGG